Molecule: ribosomal RNA, 254 nt
Filed under: uncultured bacterium
Lineage: Bacteria
Description: partial 16S ribosomal RNA
Rfam family: Bacterial small subunit ribosomal RNA
Source: RNAcentral
CACGUAGGGUGCGAGCGUUGUCCGGAAUUAUUGGGCGUAAAGAGCUCGUAGGCGGUGUGUCGCGUCGGCCGUGAAAACCUGCAGCUUAACUGUGGGCUUGCGGUCGAUACGGGCAUCACUGGAGUUCGGCAGGGGAGACUGGAAUUCCUGGUGUAGCGGUGAAAUGCGCAGAUAUCAGGAGAAACACCGGUGGCGAAGGCGGGACUCUGGGCCGAUACUGACGCUGAGGAGCGAAAGCGUGGGGAGCGAACAGG